Molecule: non-coding RNA, 950 nt
Filed under: Scorpis violacea (blue maomao)
Lineage: Eukaryota; Metazoa; Chordata; Actinopteri; Centrarchiformes; Kyphosidae
Description: 12S ribosomal RNA
Rfam family: Bacterial small subunit ribosomal RNA
Source: RNAcentral
CAAAGGCUUGGUCCUGACUUUACUAUCAACUUUAGCCAAACUUACACAUGCAAGUAUCCGCACCCCCGUGAGAAUGCCCUACAGUUCCCUGCCCGGGAACAAGGAGCUGGUAUCAGGCACAACCUUAAUUGAGCCCACGACACCUUGCUUAGCCACACCCCCAAGGGAACUCAGCAGUGACAGACAUUAAGCUAUAAGUGAAAACUUGACUUAGUCAAAGCUAAGAGGGCCGGUAAAACUCGUGCCAGCCACCGCGGUUAUACGAGAGACCCAAGUUGAUAGACUCCGGCGUAAAGAGUGGUUAAGACAAACUUUGUACUAAAGCCGAAUGCCUUCAGGGCUGUUAUACGCUCCCGAAGAUAAGAAGCUCAAUCACGAAAGUGGCUUUACACGAACUGAACCCACGAAAGCUAUGACACAAACUGGGAUUAGAUACCCCACUAUGCUUAGCCGUAAACAUCGAUGACACAAUACACAUACCAUCCGCCUGGGAACUACGAGCACCAGCUUGAAACCCAAAGGACUUGGCGGUGCUUUAGACCCACCUAGAGGAGCCUGUUCUAGAACCGAUAACCCCCGUUCAACCUCACCCUUCCUUGUUUUCCCCGCCUAUAUACCGCCGUCGUCAGCUUACCCUGUGAAGGUUCUAUCGUAAGCAGAAUUGGCAUAGCCCAAAACGUCAGGUCGAGGUGUAGCGUAUGGAAGGGGAAGAAAUGGGCUACAUUCACUAAAAUAGUGAAUACGAACAACGUACUGAAACGUACGUCCGAAGGAGGAUUUAGCAGUAAGCAGGAAGUAGAGCGUCCCGCUGAAAUUGGCCCUGAAGCGCGCACACACCGCCCGUCACUCUCCCCGAACUUAAAGUUUAAACGUAACUAAAACCCUAUAAUUGUAAAGGGGAGGCAAGUCGUAACAUGGUAAGUGUACCGGAAGGUGCACUUGGGAAAAAU